AACUGCGAAUGGCUCAUUAAAUCAGUUAUCGUUUAUUUGAUAGUACCUUACUACUUGGAUAACCGUGGUAAUUCUAGAGCUAAUACAUGCUAAAAACCCCAACUUCGGAAGGGGUGUAUUUAUUAGAUAAAAAACCAAUGCCCUUCGGGGCUCUUUGGUGAUUCAUGAUAACUUCUCAGAUCGCAUGGCCUUGCGCCGGCGACGGUUCAUUCAAAUUUCUGCCCUAUCAACUUUCGAUGGUAAGGUAUUGGCUUACCAUGGUUUCAACGGGUAACGGGGAAUUAGGGUUCGAUUCCGGAGAGGGAGCCUGAGAAACGGCUACCACAUCCAAGGAAGGCAGCAGGCGCGCAAAUUACCCAAUCCCGACACGGGGAGGUAGUGACAAUAAAUACUGAUACAGGGCUCUUUUGGGUCUUGUAAUUGGAAUGAGUACAAUUUAAACCUCUUAACGAGGAACAAUUGGAGGGCAAGUCUGGUGCCAGCAGCCGCGGUAAUUCCAGCUCCAAUAGCGUAUAUUAAAGUUGUUGCAGUUAAAAAGCUCGUAGUUGAACCUUGGGCCUGGCUGGCAGGUCCGCCUCACCGCGUGUACUUGACCGGCCGGGCCUUCUCUUCUGGAGAACCUCAUGCCCUUUACUGGGCGUGUUGGGGACCAGGACUUUUACUUUGAAAAAAUUAGAGUGUUCAAAGCAGGCCUUUGCUCGAAUAUGUUAGCAUGGAAUAAUAGAAUAGGACGUGCGGUCCUAUUUUGUUGGUUUCUAGGACCGCCGUAAUGAUUAAUAGGGACAGUCGGGGGCAUCAGUAUUCAAUUGUCAGAGGUGAAAUUCUUGGAUUUAUUGAAGACUAACUACUGCGAAAGCAUUUGCCAAGGAUGUUUUCAUUAAUCAGUGAACGAAAGUUAGGGGAUCGAAGACGAUCAGAUACCGUCGUAGUCUUAACCAUAAACUAUGCCGACUAGGGAUCGGGCGAUGUUUCAAUAUUGACUCGCUCGGCACCUUACGAGAAAUCAAAGUGU
RNAcentral lists this ribosomal RNA (1012 nucleotides) under Neohelicascus elaterascus. RNAcentral's name for it is "SSU rRNA". It matches the Rfam family "Eukaryotic small subunit ribosomal RNA", at positions 85 to 1106 of the family's 1831-position model. The record is from RNAcentral. Lineage: Eukaryota; Fungi; Ascomycota; Dothideomycetes; Pleosporales; Morosphaeriaceae.